GAUGAACGCUGGCGGCGUGCCCAAUACAUGCAAGUCGAGCGAACGGACGAGAAGCUUGCUUCUCUGAUGUUAGCGGCGGACGGGUGAGUAACACGUGGAUAACCUACCUAUAAGACUGGGAUAACUUCGGGAAACCGGAGCUAAUACCGGAUAAUAUUUUGAACCGCAUGGUUCAAAAGUGAAAGACGGUCUUGCUGUCACUUAUAGAUGGAUCCGCGCUGCAUUAGCUAGUUGGUAAGGUAACGGCUUACCAAGGCAACGAUGCAUAGCCGACCUGAGAGGGUGAUCGGCCACACUGGAACUGAGACACGGUCCAGACUCCUACGGGAGGCAGCAGUAGGGAAUCUUCCGCAAUGGGCGAAAGCCUGACGGAGCAACGCCGCGUGAGUGAUGAAGGUCUUCGGAUCGUAAAACUCUGUUAUUAGGGAAGAACACAUGUGUAAGUAACUGUGCACAUCUUGACGGUACCUAAUCAGAAAGCCACGGCUAACUACGUG
This 497-nucleotide ribosomal RNA is filed under the name uncultured bacterium. RNAcentral describes it as "partial 16S ribosomal RNA". It matches the Rfam family "Bacterial small subunit ribosomal RNA", at positions 28 to 507 of the family's 1533-position model. The record is from RNAcentral.